RNAcentral lists this non-coding RNA (45 nucleotides) under Schistosoma mansoni. The record is from RNAcentral. Lineage: Eukaryota; Metazoa; Platyhelminthes; Trematoda; Strigeidida; Schistosomatidae.
AUUCAGCUGACGAAUCCCGAAUGAGACGAAAUGCGCGUCUUGGAU